This 1558-nucleotide long non-coding RNA is filed under the name Crocodylus porosus (Australian saltwater crocodile). Its description in RNAcentral is "lncRNA (ENSCPRG00005012920.1)". The record is from RNAcentral. Lineage: Eukaryota; Metazoa; Chordata; Crocodylia; Crocodylidae.
AACGCCCCCAGCCCUGCCUCCCACCCAGUGCCAGAGCUGGAGGGGCCUCUGGGAAAGCCACCAGGACCUCCGCAACCUGCAUUCGCCUGCCCGGUGUGGGUUUGUCCGAUGCUGGCCCCUUGCCCCGGCAGUGGCUCAAUGCAGCCACGCCGAGUGGGCACUGCGAGCAGACCCCGAGCCUGACGGGACCCAUGGGCAUUGUAAGGGAAGAAGCCACCAAAAAAGGGACUAGCAUGACAACUACACAUGUGCACACACAGAUGCAUGCACGUGUGCAGCCAUUACAGCUUAGGUAAGGUCUCUCCCUUCACAGACCUGUACCAGCCUGGUUGAACUGUUUUGUGCUCAGGGAAAGGCAAGCAGGAAGCGGGGAAGAAACCCUCCCAGGAAAACAUGUCUUCCUCCCGAAUACCCUGCGCACUGCUUCCCUGCAAAGCUGCCCUGAACGUCAGCCGGAGCAGCAGCCUGGACCCAAUGCCCGCUGCUCUCCUGGCGCUUCACGCCAGCCUGUCCUUCAGACGCUGCCCUUGCUCAGCUCCGGACGGGGUCGAGGUUGCAUCUUGCUCCCACUGCCCGUGUCGCCGCGCCACCCCAGACCCCCGCUCGUGCCCACGUGCCGGACACGGGCCCCGACUGAAGCCUCGCAGCUUGGAAGCGACGGCAAGAGGUGCCCGUCUGAGCGGCUCAGCCAGGACACAGCUUCUGCCCUCCUCACGCGCAGCCUGGGGAGGGGUCAAGCGCAGCAGGGACCUCCUGACCCCCCGGCUCCCUGAACACCGCGGCUCGGGGGUCGCACUCCCGGCGGAGACGGGGAACGGCGCUCACCGUGCACGGUCGCGGCUCCCUCGGGGUCUGGUGUCCCCGGCGCUGCCAGCCCACGUCCUGCCCGAAUGGGCCUCCGGUGCCGUGCAGAAAAGCCGCGCUCCUUCCUCCAAGCCUCCUCGGCCCCUCUCCUCCCGUUUCUACGCCGGCUUCCCGACAGACUCGCCAGGCCCCGCGAGGCUCCCGGGCCUGCCCCAGCGUCGUCAAGGGCACCGCUGCAAAAUAAUGAGUCACAGGCGCUCGGUGCUGGCACGCUGGAGCACAGACGAGCCCUGCGCUGCAAGCUGCGGCGACAGGCAGUCAGGGCCGCAGGACCCGGGGCCUCCGGGCGCGGGGGCCCCUGUGUGCUGCGGGGGGGGUUAACACAUGGGUCCAAUCCCAGACUUGCUGAAGUCAACGCGAGUCGGCCACGAGGCCUCUGAUGGCAGUCAGGAAGAUUGCACCCAGAGAGCCCGAACUCCCUCGCGGCAUCCUCUUGCCUCCCUCCAUCAGCAGCCGCUGGGGAGAGCCCCUGCCAGGGCCUGGCUGCGGCUGGACAUCUCCCCGCGCGGACCUGGCAGACCCCACGUUCAGGGCAGGGCUCCCCCCCCGGCAGCUUCAGGCGGGUGUGCGGCGCUCCUCUGGCGUGUUGGAAAGUUCUCCCACACGUGCACGUACAUACCCACGUUGUCACACACAUGCGCAUGAAGAAUUGUCUCACACAUGCACAUACAUACCCACGUUGUCGCACACAUGC